UACGAAGGGGGGCUAGCGUUGCUCGGAUUGACUGGGCGUAAAGGGCGCGUAGGCGGUUCGUACAGUCAGACGUGAAAUUCCUGGGCUCAACCUGGGGGCUGCGUUUGAUACGUGCGGACUUGAGUGCGGAAGAGGGUCGUGGAAUUCCCAGUGUAGAGGUGAAAUUCGUAGAUAUUAGGAAGAACACCGGUGGCGAAGGCGGCCCACUGGAUCGGUACUGACGCUGAGGUGCGAAAGCGUGGGGAGCAAACAGG
Molecule: ribosomal RNA, 254 nt
Filed under: uncultured bacterium
Lineage: Bacteria
Description: partial 16S ribosomal RNA
Rfam family: Bacterial small subunit ribosomal RNA
Source: RNAcentral